GGGUUGUGAGGUUAAGCGACUAAGCGUACACGGUGGAUGCCCGGCAGUCAGAGGCGAUGAAGGGCGUGCUAAUCUGCGAUAAGCGCCGGUAAGGUGAUAUGAACCGUUAUAACCGGCGAUACCCGAAUGGGGAAACCCAGUGUGAUUCGUCACACUAUCAUUAACUGAAUCCAUAGGUUAAUGAGGCGAACCGGGGAACUGAAACAUCUAAGUACCCCGAGGAAAAGAAAUCAACCGAGAUUCCCCAGUAGCGGCGAGCGAACGGGGAGGAGCCCAGAGCCUGAAUCAGCAUGUGUGUUAGUGGAAGCGUCUGGAAAGGCGCGCGAUACAGGGUGACAGCCCCGUACACAAAAGCGCAUGUGCUGUGAGCUCGAUGAGUAGGGCGGGACACGUGGUAUCCUGUCUGAAUAUGGGGGGACCAUCCUCCAAGGCUAAAUACUCCUGACUGACCGAUAGUGAACCAGUACCGUGAGGGAAAGGCGAAAAGAACCCCGGCGAGGGGAGUGAAAAAGAACCUGAAACCGUGUACGUACAAGCAGUGGGAGCACCCUUCGGGGUGUGACUGCGUACCUUUUGUAUAAUGGGUCAGCGACUUAUAUUCUGUAGCAAGGUUAACCGUAUAGGGGAGCCGCAGGGAAACCGAGUCUUAAUUGGGCGUUAAGUUGCAGGGUAUAGACCCGAAACCCGGUGAUCUAGCCAUGGGCAGGUUGAAGGUUGGGUAACACUAACUGGAGGACCGAACCGACUAAUGUUGAAAAAUUAGCGGAUGACCUGUGGCUGGGGGUGAAAGGCCAAUCAAACCGGGAGAUAGCUGGUUCUCCCCGAAAGCUAUUUAGGUAGCGCCUCGUGAAUUCAUCUCCGGGGGUAGAGCACUGUUUCGGCUAGGGGGCCAUCCCGGCUUACCAACCCGAUGCAAACUGCGAAUACCGGAGAAUGUUAUCACGGGAGACACACGGCGGGUGCUAACGUCCGUCGUGAAGAGGGAAACAACCCAGACCGCCAGCUAAGGUCCCAAAGUCAUGGUUAAGUGGGAAACGAUGUGGGAAGGCCCAGACAGCCGGAUGUUGGCUUAGAAGCAGCCAUCAUUUAAAGAAAGCGUAAUAGCUCACUGGUCGAGUCGGCCUGCGCGGAAGAUGUAACGGGGCUAAACCAUGCACCGAAGCUGCGGCAGCGACACUGUGUGUUGUUGGGUAGGGGAGCGUUCUGUAAGCCUGCGAAGGUGGCCUGUGAGGGUUGCUGGAGGUAUCAGAAGUGCGAAUGCUGACAUAAGUAACGAUAAAGCGGGUGAAAAGCCCGCUCGCCGGAAGACCAAGGGUUCCUGUCCAACGUUAAUCGGGGCAGGGUGAGUCGACCCCUAAGGCGAGGCCGAAAGGCGUAGUCGAUGGGAAACGGGUUAAUAUUCCCGUACUUGGUGUUACUGCGAAGGGGGACGGAGAAGGCUAUGUUGGCCGGGCGACGGUUGUCCCGGUUUAAGCGUGUAGGUGUGUGUUCCAGGUAAAUCCGGUUCACUUUAACACUGAGGCGUGACGACGAGGCACUACGGUGCUGAAGCAACAAAUGCCCUGCUUCCAGGAAAAGCCUCUAAGCAUCAGGUAACAUCAAAUCGUACCCCAAACCGACACAGGUGGUCAGGUAGAGAAUACCAAGGCGCUUGAGAGAACUCGGGUGAAGGAACUAGGCAAAAUGGUGCCGUAACUUCGGGAGAAGGCACGCUGACACGUAGGUGAAGUGAUUUACUCAUGGAGCUGAAGUCAGUCGAAGAUACCAGCUGGCUGCAACUGUUUAUUAAAAACACAGCACUGUGCAAACACGAAAGUGGACGUAUACGGUGUGACGCCUGCCCGGUGCCGGAAGGUUAAUUGAUGGGGUCAGCGCAAGCGAAGCUCCUGAUCGAAGCCCCGGUAAACGGCGGCCGUAACUAUAACGGUCCUAAGGUAGCGAAAUUCCUUGUCGGGUAAGUUCCGACCUGCACGAAUGGCGUAAUGAUGGCGGCUGUCUCCACCCGAGACUCAGUGAAAUUGAACUCGCUGUGAAGAUGCAGUGUACCCGCGGCAAGACGGAAAGACCCCGUGAACCUUUACUAUAGCUUGACACUGAACAUUGAGCCUUGAUGUGUAGGAUAGGUGGGAGGCUUUGAAGCGUGGACGCCAGUCUGCGUGGAGCCGACCUUGAAAUACCACCCUUUAAUGUUUGAUGUUCUAACGUGGACCCGUGAUCCGGGUUGCGGACAGUGUCUGGUGGGUAGUUUGACUGGGGCGGUCUCCUCCUAAAGAGUAACGGAGGAGCACGAAGGUUGGCUAAUCCUGGUCGGACAUCAGGAGGUUAGUGCAAUGGCAUAAGCCAGCUUGACUGCGAGCGUGACGGCGCGAGCAGGUGCGAAAGCAGGUCAUAGUGAUCCGGUGGUUCUGAAUGGAAGGGCCAUCGCUCAACGGAUAAAAGGUACUCCGGGGAUAACAGGCUGAUACCGCCCAAGAGUUCAUAUCGACGGCGGUGUUUGGCACCUCGAUGUCGGCUCAUCACAUCCUGGGCUGAAGUAGGUCCCAAGGGUAUGGCUGUUCGCCAUUUAAAGUGGUACGCGAGCUGGGUUUAGAACGUCGUGAGACAGUUCGGUCCCUAUCUGCCGUGGGCGCUGGAGAACUGAGGGGGCUGCUCCUAGUACGAGAGGACCGGAGUGGACGCAUCACUGGUGUUCGGGUUGUCAUGCCAAUGGCACUGCCCGGUAGCUAAAUGCGGAAGAGAUAAGUGCUGAAAGCAUCUAAGCACGAAACUUGCCCCGAGAUGAGUUCUCCCUGAGACUUAAAGUCUCCUGAAGGAACGUUGAAGACGACGACGUUGAUAGGCCGGGUGUGUAAGCGCAGCGAUGCGUUGAGCUAACCGGUACUAAUGAACCGUGAGGCUUAACCUUACAACGCCGAAG
This 2917-nucleotide ribosomal RNA is filed under the name Salmonella enterica subsp. enterica serovar Adjame. RNAcentral describes it as "23S ribosomal RNA". It matches the Rfam family "Bacterial large subunit ribosomal RNA". Lineage: Bacteria; Pseudomonadati; Pseudomonadota; Gammaproteobacteria; Enterobacterales; Enterobacteriaceae. The record is from RNAcentral.